Molecule: long non-coding RNA, 1208 nt
Filed under: Homo sapiens (human)
Lineage: Eukaryota; Metazoa; Chordata; Mammalia; Primates; Hominidae
Description: non-protein coding lnc-NUBPL-1:7
Source: RNAcentral
GGAGACUGCGGCCCAAGUUAGGAUUAGGACAGCGGUUUUUCAGUCCGGAGAUUCCGGCCACAACUAUUUUUGUCUGUUUUUAUCGUAAGCCAGAGUCUUUGGGUGCAGCUCUGGGACACCUAAAGGGCCUGGAGAAAUUCAGGCGGGGCCAGUGCUGUGGGGGUAGAUGUUAGACGUGGAAGGGACCCUAGAGAGCCUUGACUGUGAGGACUGAGACAGGGCCUCCUUUGUUGCCCAGGCCGGAGUGCAGUGGCUAUUCACAGGUCGAUAAUGCAAUCAUGGUGCACACUACAGCCUUGAACUUCUGGGCUCAUGUGAUCCUUCUGCCUCAGCCUCCCAGCGCUAUCCUCAUCAUACAUAUACUGUGAAGAUAAAAUAUCUGUUGAAGAUUCUUUGAGCACCUUGGGCCAGAAGAGCUACAGAAAGCCAAGGUGUGGCUGUGAUGACACUGAAUUCAGCUCAAGACCCAGGAGAACCUUACAUCUAUUCUUAUUUCCACAAGGAAGUGCACACAUGGCUAAUGCAAAUUCUUCCAUAAUAAUGAUAUAAACUUGAGUUGUCCAGGUUUGAUGAGACCCACAUCUUGUAUAUACAGUGUCAUCUACUGCCUCUGUUAGGGGCUCUAGGGGAUAAAGGAAACUAUAUUAAGAAAUGCAGCAUCUGUUUCUCCCUGUGUGACCACCCUACUUCCAAGAAGUUUCUGUAUCCUUGGCUGAAGUGCACUGUGUGUAUGUGUAUGUGUGUACACUCUUCUACAUCAAUCUGUAAGUCACUGAAAUGCUGCAGAUGUUUUAAAAAAAUUCCACCAUACUUGCUUACUUUAAACUUUGAAACAGGCAAAUAGCUAAGGCCAAUAACACUAGAUAGAAUUAAGUAAUUAAUAAUUUAACAGCACAAUUUAACAUUGUGCUUCUUAGGAUGGGCAGGGAUUGGUUAAUGGAUACAAAAUUAUAGCUAGAUAGGAGGAAUGAGUUCUGGUGUUCUGGAGCACUGUAGGAUGAAUAUGGCUAACUAUAAUUUAUUGUAUACUGUCAAAAGUCUAGAAGAAAGGAUUUUAAAUGUUCACAACACAAAUAAUAAAUUUUUGAGAUAAUGCAUAUCUGGUUUGAUUGUUAUACAUUGUAUACAGUAUUAAAAUAUCACUAUGUAUCCCAUGAAUAUGUAAAAUUAUUAUUUAUUAUUUUAAAAAUAAAAGGGGAGGAAAGAGA